UCCCCUAGUAACUGCGAGUGAAGCGGGAAAAGCUCAAAUUUAAAAUCUGACAGUCUUUGGCUGUCCGAGUUGUAAUCUAGAGAAGUGUUGCCCACACUGGACCGUGUACAAGUCUUCUGGAAUGAAGCGUCAUAGAGGGUGAGAAUCCCGUCUUUGACAUGGACUCCCAGUGUAUUGUGGCGUGCUCUCAAAGAGUCGAGUUGUUUGGGAAUGCAGCUCUAAAUGGGUGGUAACCUCCAUCUAAAGCUAAAUAUUGGCGAGAGACCGAUAGUGAACAAGUACCGUGAGGGAAAGAUGAAAAGAACUUUGGAAAGAGAGUUAAACAGUACGUGAAAUUGUUGAAAGGGAAACGCUUGAAGUCAGUCACAUUGGCCAGGGAUCAGCCUAGCUCUUUUGCUGAGUGUACUUCCUGGUUUGAUGGGCCAAUGUCAGUUUUGACUGCCAGAGAAGGGCAGAGGGAAUGUGGCACCUUCCGGGGUGUGUUAUAGCCUUUUGUUAUAUAUGGCAGUUGGGACUGAGGAAUGCAGCGCGCCCGCAAGGGCCGGGUUUCGACCACRUUCGCGCUUUGGAUGUUGGCA
RNAcentral lists this ribosomal RNA (578 nucleotides) under Amanita longistriata. RNAcentral's name for it is "LSU rRNA". It matches the Rfam family "Eukaryotic large subunit ribosomal RNA", at positions 76 to 631 of the family's 3401-position model. Lineage: Eukaryota; Fungi; Basidiomycota; Agaricomycetes; Agaricales; Amanitaceae. The record is from RNAcentral.